This 255-nucleotide long non-coding RNA is filed under the name Elaeis guineensis (African oil palm). RNAcentral's name for it is "long non-coding RNA (EGUI_LNC047765)". Lineage: Eukaryota; Viridiplantae; Streptophyta; Magnoliopsida; Arecales; Arecaceae. The record is from RNAcentral.
AUAGACCUAGUCAUCAAUCCAAUGUCCCACAUAAGAAUCCCCAAUUUAAAAAUGAUAAAGUAAUCUUUAAGCUUAAAAGUGAUAGAAUUCUUAAGGACCCAUACCAAGACCAGAUAAGUGAGGCUAGUACUAAUGCUAGCCAAAAUAUGAAUUUAGAAGAAGAGGUUAGUACUGAAGCUAACCCAAUAGAAGAACUUGAGCUUAGUACUGAUGCUGAUCUAAGUGAAGAAAAGAAGAGAGUGGAUGAGUUACCCA